AUAAACUUAAGGUGCUGCACUUUGUAUAACGCAAGGUUACCGAAAAGAGGUCAAUUUAUAUAGUAUAAAUAACUAAACAAGGUUUCAAGUUAAAAGUCGUUAUUUCAAGUCUUAAAUUAAAACUGAGCAAUAAACCAACAAAAUAUAAAAGUUACCUCAGCAGUAAUGAAGUUCAUGUGGUUAGAUUUAUCAUCAAAGUCUUAAACUAAGGACUAUUAAUUGAAAACACAGCUAAGGAGAUGCGGUUUGUUAUGAGGUGUAUACACAAGGCAAAAGUUUUAAUAAAACUUAUGAGAUUUAUUCACAUUUACCUAAAUUAGGAAUAUAAACUACAAACUUAAAAUUGAAAAGCAGAACUUAUUUUUUUAAAUUCUACACGUGUGUGGUUAAAAACUAGAAAUUCAAAGAUUUUUCGGUAGCAAAGGAAAGCUGAAUUGGCAGUUUGAAAAACAAUAGUGCUGCUAAGAUAUACUUUUUGAAUUUCUGCGUUCAGGUUCAAUUCAAAGGGCAGCAAAUUUAUAGAAAAACUGAAAUUUCAAAUUUGCAAGAUAAAAAUAUAAUUGCUGAAAGAACUACUUCCUUAACGAACGUUUUGUUAAAGGUUUUUCCAGAUACAAAUUUUUGUUCGUCAGUCCGUAUGUCCGUACAUCCGGGAAGGUUUUUUCGUCGUCUAUAUCUUUACAACCAGUAGAGGUAUAGACUUGAAAUAAAUGUAGUUAUACAGAUACCUAGAAAGAUGCAGAAAUGACUCUCCAGCUAAUUAAGUGGGUGGUUUUUUAUAUUAGCAAUUUAAAAAACAAAUGAAUAUAUUGGUUGAUCCAAAAUAUCUCACGAACCAAUAGCGCUAACGACUUCAACUAAAUUUUAUAUAAUGUAUUUUAACGUGAUACAAAACUUGUAUAAUUUUGAAAGAAAAAUCAAUUUUUUUUAUAGAUCUAUAAAAUUGAACAAAAAAAAUAUCACUUCGAACAUUUUACGAACAAAAAUGGUUUUAUCUCCAAGAUACAUUCAAUUGACAACUUUUGUACGAUAACAGAAAAAGCUGACAUAAUGACAAUUAUCAAAAUACACAAAAUUAGGCCUUAUUAAGUGCAAAUGCCGAUAUGGAAGAAAAAAUGUGUCCUAUUUCCACGAAAUUUUAGAAUUUUAUAUCAUUCAGUUGGCAUCUUUGACUCGCGUUAAAAUGACUUUUUUCCCAACUAGAAAUUGAAACA
Molecule: long non-coding RNA, 1214 nt
Organism: Eupeodes corollae
Lineage: Eukaryota; Metazoa; Arthropoda; Insecta; Diptera; Syrphidae
Exons: 3
Source: RefSeq, a predicted model, not a curated record